RNAcentral lists this non-coding RNA (185 nucleotides) under Virgibacillus sp. SK37. The record is from RNAcentral. RNAcentral also lists the same sequence under 1 other name. Lineage: Bacteria; Bacillati; Bacillota; Bacilli; Caryophanales; Bacillaceae.
UUUUAUUCAUAGGGUGCAGGUGAUUUCUGUUUAGAAAUCGUAAAAGGGAAGUUGAUGAGAAGCCAACGCGGUCCCGCCACUGUAUUUGCGAGCUAGCUGUGUGUUACCACUGUACGUUAGUAUGGGAAGGGGCACAGCGAGUGUUGACCAUAAGCCAGGAGACCUGCCUGCAACCCCGAUGCACC